UACCUGGGAGAAGGAGAAGACAUAAAGCAACAUGAAGAAGGAAGAGAAGAUGAGAAGAGAGGAAAUAUUCAGGAUGGGGGAAUGGAUAAUGUGGUGGAAUCCCUCUCCAGGUUGGCCCACAGCUCUUGUCAUUCACCUUCCCCUAUGCCCUAUUAGUCUCCUCACGCCACCCUGGAAAUGAAUACUUGGCCUGUGUGUGUUUGUGUGUGAUGUGUGUGUAUAUAAAUAAUAAUAAUAAUAAUAAUAAUAAAUAAUUACUGGGAUCUGCGCGCAUCAUCCGAAAAUACAUCACACAGCCCUAAACGCUUGGAAAGUGUUCAACUUGUGAUUUUGUGAUACGAAAUUCAGCAUAUCUAUCUUGUUUUCUGUGUCAUACUAUGUUGUUGUGUCAAUAAUAAUAAUAAUAAUAAUCUUUAUUUAUAUCCUAUCCCCUUUCCCAGAAGGAACUCGGAACGGCUUACAAUAAAAAACAAAUACCAUAAAUAAUAUAACAUUGACAAUAAUCACAUAUCAGUUAAUAAAACAAUAUAAUACAAUCCUGCAAAACAUAAAUAAAUAGGCAAUAUAAAAUGCAAGGCCCUCUAAAACCAGUGUGUAAAUGCCAUUUAAAAUCAGCCAUUCCUAUGAUCAAAGUAUCAAGGCUAUAAAUUAUGUCCUAAUGCCCAUCAAAAAUCCUGUCCCAUGGAGUGGUUGAUACUUUUAGCCACUGUUUUAAAAAGCCUGUUUAAACAGUGAAGUUCUCAAUUGCUUCCUGAAUGUUAUAAGGGUGGGUGCUUGUCUCAUUUCCCUGGAGAGGGCAUUCCAAAGUCACAGGGACAAAGUGAGAUGAAAUCUUCCAUUCUGACUUACAAAUUCCUCUUAAGAGCAAACCUACAGAAUCUAUCUUGUUCGCAACUUGAGGACUGCCUAUACAUGGUAUACUUUUUAUGAUUUCCUUGAGAGUCUGCCUGGAAAAUGAGAGUACAGAUCCCCACCUAGUCAUGGAGAGUCCAGGGCAAACCUCCUCUGAAGAAAACCCUUGGAGAAGCUGCUGUUCGCCCUCGUUGCUUUGGCUCUCUGUGCCAUUUCGUGUUGUGACCUUCUUGGAUGACUUCAACCUCUUGGACCUUGGACUGGAACUUGACUCGGCUUUGCUCUUCACUCUCAAAUCGUGGUUUGGCAUCAUUCUCUACUCGGUGGCUGCCUGACUGCUCAUCCCGACUCCAGACCGGCUUGACAACGCUUUCUCGCUCUGCCCCUUUAAUUCCUGGCUUGGCGUUUGCUUCUACAACAGCUUGGUGCUGCUGGCUUAUCCCGACUCCGGACCGGCUCAACAACGCUUUCCUGCUCCGCUCCUUUAACUCCUGGUUUGGCGUGUGUUUCUGCAGCGGUUGCUGCGGGCUUGCCAGCGUCUUGCUGUUCCGCUGGCUUGUUUGCUCUUAACUGAGAGUCCUUGAGCCCAGUUUGGGCGUUUGUUUGAUUUUGAACUCCUUUUGAACGUUUAAGUUUUGGGAAGGGUUUGUGGGCUUCAAUACUGCUUGUCUUCGUUUUUGCCCUAGUUUUUCGGCCCAUUGUGAACUCUUGAGUCAAGUUCUAGGACUCUAAAUUUAAUCCGGAUUAUAUCUCUAGUUAAUCCAGAUUAUUUGCCAGUCUUUGUUUUGGGGGUUUUUUCUCGCUCAAUCUGCUUAAUAACACUGAAAGUUAAGUGUUUUAAGCCUUUUUGUGUUUGUUGAGCUAUUUUUGGACAUUUGCUUUAAUAAACUCUGUUUUGCUCUCUUA
This is a long non-coding RNA of Anolis carolinensis (green anole), 1758 nucleotides long. RefSeq lists it as uncharacterized. NCBI's taxonomy places the organism in Eukaryota, Metazoa, Chordata, Lepidosauria, Squamata, Anolidae. The record is from RefSeq and is a predicted model, not a curated record. The transcript has 2 exons.